Girardinichthys multiradiatus is the source of this 581-nucleotide long non-coding RNA. RefSeq lists it as uncharacterized. The transcript has 2 exons. NCBI's taxonomy places the organism in Eukaryota, Metazoa, Chordata, Actinopteri, Cyprinodontiformes, Goodeidae. The record is from RefSeq and is a predicted model, not a curated record.
GCGCUGGAUGACAGGUGUCUCCUAUCUGCUGAUUGCUUGGAGGAGUACUUAAGCGGGAGGCUGCCAGCACUUCGAUGCCAGAGUGUUUGCCUUAGUGGUAACAAGCUCAGCCUUUACUGAUUUUUUGCUUCGUUCAUGAACUUCAAGUAACUUUGUAUUUUGUUUUCAUGCAGGUUUUUAGCUGAGGCUUUGUUUACCUUGCUGAGUUCCGACUUCGUUCCAGAGUUUCUCUGAGCAUCUGGAUUCUCAACUACUGAGUUAAGGAUCUAUCUUAUUGUGGAUUUUUUCCUCUCUACAGUCUGUACCUCUCGGACACGGAUCAAGCUGGCGGCUUCCCGUUUUCUUCAACUCCUGGACCCAGGCAUCAGCAUACCCUGUUCCUUCCUCCAUCUCAAACAUCGGCACCUGAGCUCCGUUUGGCUGGCAUCAAGAUCACAACGAAGAAGACAACUGAUCGAUCUUCCCUCGCAAGUUAAAACUCUGAAUCUCUCUCUCCCUGUUGGUUCAAGCUACAACAAUUUAUUGGUCUUUCCAGUCCUCCCCAGAUUACUUUGCUGACAAUAAAAUCCGUAAAAACUUUC